GGGGCCCCGCGCAGCGCUGUAAUACGUAGGUGGCCGGAUAGCGUUGUCUGGUAUUAUUGGGCGUAAAGCGCGCGCAGGCGGUCUCUUAAGUCUGAUGUGAAAGCCCCCGGCUCAACCGGGGAGGGUCAUUGGAAACUGGGAGACUUGAGUACAGAAGAGGAGAGUGGAAUUCCACGUGUAGCGGUGAAGUGCGUAGAGAUGUGGAGGAACACCAGUGGCGAAGGCGACUCUCUGGUCUGUAACUGACGCUGAGGCGCGAAAGCGUGGGGAGCAAACAGGAUUAGAUACCCUGGUAGUCCACGCCGUAAACGAUGAGUGCUAGGUGUUAGGGGUUUCGACGCCCUUAGUGCCGAAGUUAACACAUUAAGCACUCCGCCUGGGGAGUACGACCGCAAGGUUGAAACUCAAAGGAAUUGACGGGGGCCCGCACAAGCAGUGGAGCAUGUGGUUUAAUUCGAAGCAACGCGAAGAACCUUACCAGGUCUUGACAUCCUUUGACCACCCUAGAGAUAGGGCUUUCCCCUUCGGGGGACAAAGUGACAGGUGGUGCAUGGUUGUCGUCAGCUCGUGUCGUGAGAUGUUGGGUUAAGUCCCGCAACGAGCGCAACCCUUGACCUUAGUUGCCAGCAUUCAGUUGGGCACUCUAAGGUGACUGCCGGUGACAAACCGGAGGAAGGUGGGGAUGACGUCAAAUCAUCAUGCCCCUUAUGACCUGGGCUACACACGUGCUACAAUGGAUGGUACAAAGGGUUGCGAAGCCGCGAGGUGAAGCCAAUCCCAGAAAGCCAUUCUCAGUUCGGAUUGUCAGGCUGCAACUCGCCUGCAUGAAGCCGGAAUUGCUGAGCCUGAUCGCGGAUCAGCAUGCCGCGAUGAUACUUUCCCGGGGCCUAUAAAA
This 895-nucleotide ribosomal RNA is filed under the name Halalkalibacterium halodurans. RNAcentral's name for it is "bacterial SSU rRNA". It matches the Rfam family "Bacterial small subunit ribosomal RNA", at positions 504 to 1388 of the family's 1533-position model. Lineage: Bacteria; Bacillati; Bacillota; Bacilli; Caryophanales; Bacillaceae. The record is from RNAcentral.